UGAUGCAGCGACGCCGCGUGUGUGAUGACGGUCUUCGGAUUGUAAACCUCUUUCGUCAGGGACGAUGGUGAUGGGACCUGACGAGUAAACCACGGAUAACUUAAUGCCGGGCCCCCCGCCGCUAUUUA
This 128-nucleotide ribosomal RNA is filed under the name uncultured Aeromicrobium sp. RNAcentral describes it as "partial 16S ribosomal RNA". It matches the Rfam family "Bacterial small subunit ribosomal RNA", at positions 384 to 529 of the family's 1533-position model. Lineage: Bacteria; Bacillati; Actinomycetota; Actinomycetes; Propionibacteriales; Nocardioidaceae. The record is from RNAcentral.